GAUGAACGCUGGCGGCGUGCCUAAUACAUGCAAGUCGAGCGAACAGAUGAGGAGCUUGCUCCUCUGACGUUAGCGGCGGACGGGUGAGUAACACGUGGAUAACCUACCUAUAAGACUGGGAUAACUUCGGGAAACCGGAGCUAAUACCGGAUAAUAUAUUGAACCGCAUGGUUCAAUAGUGAAAGACGGUUUUGCUGUCACUUAUAGAUGGAUCCGCGCCGCAUUAGCUAGUUGGUAAGGUAACGGCUUACCAAGGCAACGAUGCGUAGCCGACCUGGGAGGGUGAUCGGCCACACGGGAACUGAGACACGGUCCAGACUCCUACGGGAGGCAGCAGGAGGGAAUCUUCCGCAAUGGGCGAAAGCCUGACGGAGCAACGCCGCGGGAGUGAGGAAGGUCUUCGGAUCGUAAAACUCUGUUAUUAGGGAAGAACAAAUGUGUAAGUAACUAUGCACGUCUUGACGGUACCUAAUCAGAAAGCCACGGCUAACUACGU
Molecule: ribosomal RNA, 496 nt
Filed under: uncultured bacterium
Lineage: Bacteria
Description: partial 16S ribosomal RNA
Rfam family: Bacterial small subunit ribosomal RNA
Source: RNAcentral